Molecule: non-coding RNA, 444 nt
Organism: Phascolarctos cinereus (koala)
Lineage: Eukaryota; Metazoa; Chordata; Mammalia; Diprotodontia; Phascolarctidae
Source: RefSeq, a predicted model, not a curated record
AGCACUGUGUUCUGGAGCAUUUGGAUGUGGGGAAAUCGGAUUGUGGAUUGAAAUCCUCAAAGAUCGUCGCCAAGGCAAGACAAGCAGCAGGAAAGAGAACAUAGACAUGCUCAUGGGUAUCAGAGUCUAUCCUGAGCUGAGCAAGAGAAUUUGUGUUGUCUGAAGAAAGAGACCCGUGAAAGGAGUUCAGAGCUGCUCACACUUGGAGCAUCCAUGGAACAAGUCACAUGUUUACUGGGCUUGAAGCCCCCCUUAUAGGUUUGAGAGGUUGAGAGCCCCUCGGGUCCUCAGUCACUCCUGGAAGAUCUCCCAAGAGCUAAUCUAAUGCUCCCUGGAGAAGAUGGAGAAUCAGCCCAGCUCCUGGUCAGGUUUUCCAGAAGACACAGACUGGAAGGAUUUAGUUGAGCAGUGCAGAAUGGAGGUGAAGGUGAAAUGCUGAUUCAG